CAAAAACAUCUUUUCUUGUUAGUUUUUGAAGUAUGGCCUGCCCGCUGACUUUAAGGUUGAAGGGCCGCGGUAUUUUGACCGUGCAAAGGUAGCAUAAUCAUUAGUUCUUUAAUUGUGAUCUGGUAUGAAUGGCUUGACGAGGCAUGGGCUGUCUUAUUUGUGGAAUAUUUUGAAUUUGGUUUUUGAGUUAAAAUUCUUAGAUGUUUUUAUGGGACGAGAAGACCCUAUAGAGUUUAACAUUUGGUGUAUAGUUUGUUUAUUGUUUGUUAUAUAGUUAUUUAUAUCCUGUUUGUUUUGUUGGGGUGAUGGGAAGAAUAUUUUCAACUCUUCUUUAUUUUUGGUACAUUUAUUUAUGUUUUUUUGAUCCAUUAAUUUUGAUUAUAAGAUUAAAUUACCUUAGGGAUAACAGCGUUAUCCUCCUUGAGAGUUCUUAUUGGCGGGAGGGUUUGCGACCUCGAUGUUGGAUUAAGGUUAAUUUUUGGUGUAGGAGCUGAAUUGAUUGGGUCUGUUCGACCUUUAAAUCCUUACGUGAUCUG
Molecule: ribosomal RNA, 536 nt
Filed under: Macrotermes sp. ENT-MG324
Lineage: Eukaryota; Metazoa; Arthropoda; Insecta; Blattodea; Termitidae
Description: partial small subunit ribosomal RNA
Rfam family: Bacterial large subunit ribosomal RNA
Source: RNAcentral